Molecule: long non-coding RNA, 3875 nt
Organism: Nyctereutes procyonoides (raccoon dog)
Lineage: Eukaryota; Metazoa; Chordata; Mammalia; Carnivora; Canidae
Exons: 3
Source: RefSeq, a predicted model, not a curated record
CCCAGUGUGAGCAAGGACUCCGAGCUACGCAUUUCUACGACUGUCUUUGGGUGUAGGUUUUCAUACCUGUGGAAUCAGAUGUCACUACUCAGUAGACACAAGUGUCAGAAGGAUUGGCGCUUCCUAAAUGCUCAUGUUGGUUUCCUCCGCCCAGCCACCACUACUCUCCAGCACUUUCUGCUGGACUUUGAAGAAUGUUGGUGUGAUAAUCGCAGGGAAGAACCUCUGCCUCUGGAAACCAUAUGUUACUGCACACUCACGGAGCUUCAACUCGGGUUCCACACCCAGAAAGAAUUGUGUAACUCAGGGGGACUCUUCCCACCUCUUCCUUGAUCACACUUGGGGUGAGAGACACGCAUACCUGAAGGAACGUGUGAUGCUUUGUGGAAGUCAGUCUUGAGCUUGGUACAGUGUGGCCUUAGGAACCAUUCCGUCUCUCUCAGCAGUGGACAGCCUGCGGGUAUGAGGGGAGAGGGGGACAGAGAAUAGGUAGGAGAGAGGGAGACUAUGUGACUUCAGUUUUGAGGGCGGCCCACUUUGGAUCAUGUUUACGGAGAGGCUUUGCUCCUGGGACCCCGCAGAACAGCGUGGAGGGGUUGUCCAAGGAAUGAAGACGUUCCUAGGGCUGCCCUCUGGUCUCCCCUCCAAACCACCGUGUGUGUGUGUGUGUGUGUGUGUGUGUGUGUGUGUGUGUGUUCAAGGGAAGGAAUCUGGGCUUAUUCAUGAGCGGCGCUAUCUUUCCACAGGAUAUUCAUUGUUUUGAAAAUAGGAGAAAACCUCAGCCGCUCUGAAGCAUAUAAUUAUGCUUUCUUAUUACCCAACAAGAAUGUUCUCCGGAGUGUUGUUGUGAUGAUAUACUUGCAAGUACUUGGCAGAGAGAAGGGGAGCCGAGGAGGAGGGUGGGAGGCCAGGGAGCCGAGCGGCUUGCCUUCCAUUCGGCUUGUUCCGUCUUUCCUGUCUAACAGCUCUCACGGCUCUGUAGGCUUUUCCUCAAGUCAGCUAGGUGGAUUUUUGGUGUGGGUUCCCAGGCUCCAUUUGGUUAUCAGUGUAAUGAGUGAUUUCAGAGUAUUAGGGCAGAUUCCACGAUCACUGAAUCAUGUACAGAUUCAAGGCCAGAAGAUGACAUCAGAAACAUAUGUGUUCGUCUGGAGGCAACACUUGGCCUGAGAAACAGAGCAAGAUCUCCAGUGGGAGAAUUAGACUUUCACUGGCCUAAAGAGGACCCCAGGAGGGUGACAAGGUCAUCUUACUCCAGGCUACGGUCUUACCGAUGCCUACAUUCCCCGUUGUGUGUGCUCCUGUGUAUCUAUGUAUGUCUACGUGCGCACACACACGCGCACAACCCACGGAAGAUCUGUGGUCUCUUCUCAAGAAACUGACUUCACCAUUUUAGAUUAGGGACCAGUAAUAAGAUAUCUUUCCAAAGGACCUGCCUCAUUUUCUCCCUGGGCACGCAGAAGCACCAAGACACUCCAAACUCUCUUGUGUUUGGAUGAAUAGUUGUGGUGACUUGACAGCACCGUUCGUUCACUCGCUCAUUCGUUAGAGACGUAUUUACUGAGCAUCUCUUAUGACAGACAGAGCCCUUGAACCAGACACGGAGCUACACGUUGGAUACCUGAUCUACACCCAGCUGGAUCCCAGUGCAGGCCUUGAACUCACAACCUUGAGAUCAAGAUCUGAGCUGACAUCAAGGGUUGGAUACUCAACGAGCCACCCAGAAGCUCCGGAAAUUUCAGUAAUUCUUGAAAUCUUUCUCUUUUUUGUAUUUCCGCAGCCAGUCAGUCACAAAGCCAGCGAAUCUCAUCUCAUAAAGGUCCCCACUUCAUUAUCUUAGAUCAGAGCAUUACCAUCGUUCACCUUGGGGAUUGCAAUGGUUUCAUCUGUGCAAUUCCAGCUUCUCUUUACCCUGCAUUCCACUUUGUCCUUUAUCGUACCACCAAAAAUAUUUGUCUAAAAAACAAAGCUGACCGUGUAAUCCAAAAUGCAUCACCGUCUAGUUCCUGUACUCAGCUCCCGUGAUUCUGUGCCUCCAACCCUUCACCACAGUCAUUCUGAUGGAAUGAGUUGUUUCCUGAAACACCAGACUCUUUCACAACCCUGUGCUGUCUUCUGUCUGCAUUGUUCUUCUCGUUCUCUAAGAAAUUCUGAAUCAGCCUCCAAGAGUCUGCUUAAAAACCUUCUCUUAUGUCAAGCCUCCUCCAACUCUUCCCGCCAAGGUGGUCCUGUGAUUUCCAUUCGCUUUCCCCAUUUUUCUAUACUAGCACUUUUCAGGUCAUCUGGUAGUUUGGUUUAUCCAUUUAACAUUGCUCGUAUCUAAUAGAUUAAAAACUCAGGUCAUGUUUCUCUCAUUUCUGUAUUCAGAGUAUGUCCAUUUCUUCUUUUGUUUAAGUGCUUUGAGGGAGGCUCCCGUGGGGUUUCAGAGGAAGUUGUAGAGGAGAGAGGGUACAAAUAAUUCAACCUUUCAGUUAGCGUUCCUUGACAAAUUAGAAAGACUCCCUUUUGACACAGGGUCCCUGUCUAAUCUUGAUGAUCAGAAGGGAUGGGAGCCCAAAGUUGUUAGAUCACUGAUCCUCAGGAUGCCAGCUCUCAGCACUGCCCACUGAAAUCCCAGAGUGGAACAGGAAAGAGGAGGAAAGAGGAGACCAUGCCCAAGUCAGCAACUCAGAGUCAGUGUAAAGAAUUAGAUCUCUGGCCAUCUUCUCUCGGAUGUGGUGGGCUGCUAUUCACACGGUGGACCUGCCCACUGCCCGGCCCUUGCCCAGCACACUGACUGCCAUUCCCUGCCCCCUGCUCGAGGCAGCACCAAAUUAUUUGUAUUUCUCUACAUAUAAUGUGCUCCUAACACCCUCUUUGCUUUUGCUCAUGGUGUUGUCUUUGCUAGAACGCCGCUUCAGACCCCCCAUCCAUUUUGAUGAAUGAAUCCCCAAUCAAGAUAAAUUCAGCCAUCACCUCUCAAUCCUCACCCAUCUCUGACCCAUCCAUCUUCUUUACCAGGGUGGGUUGGAUGCUGUUCUGCAAUGGCAUCCUCUACACUAGUGCCGGAGUUUCACGGCAUAAUGUUGCCCGGCUGAGGAAGUAAGUUCCGAUUUCCAACCCAAGUUCACUGCCUUGCAUGUGCCUUUAGAGCUGGAAUUAUUUCCUAAUUCACACAAAGGCAGACUCAGAGUGCCCUGUGCGUAUCCCCAUCCCUGGCAUGAUCGACCACAGCGUACUAUGGGUAUCUAUCCAUCUAUUUCCUCCACUGGAGCCCCUGGAGGGCCUGCUCCUGGACUUAGCACAGCGUUUGGCAUUGAGUAACUGUUGAGUGAAAUGUUUGCUGGAUUCUAACAGUUAUUAAGGACUAGACACUGUUCUAGGAACUUUCGAGGCCUCAAGUCAUUGACUUCUCACAAUAAUCGUGAGGACAGGGACCACUUUACCCAUUUACACAAGAGCGAAAACUGAAGCACCAAGCAAUGAAGAGAGGUGCUUCCGUCACAUGGCUGGUGUGUGCGCUUCAGCCAGGGCUGGCUGCCUUUGGGCUCCGUGUAACCCAUCCUCUUAGCCACUGUACCACACCACCUCUUAACUGAAAACUUGUCAGUCCUCUACUUCCUUGUGUUUCUCCUUCAGGAAAAAUACAAAAACAAGGACGCCUGGGUGGCUCCGCAGUUGAGCAUCUGCCUCUGGCUCAGGGUGUGACCCUGGGGUCCUGGGAUCGAUUCCCACAUCUGGCUCCUUGCAGGGAGCCUGCCUCUCCCUCUGCUGUGUCUCUGCCUCUCUGUGUGUGUCUCAUGAAUAAAUAAGUAAAAUAUUAAAACAAAACAAAACAAAACAAAAAAACCCCAAACAGUCCUUUGUGCCGUAUCUGGGAAACCUACUCCCAAUCUGGA